UACGGAGGGUGCAAGCGUUGUCCGGAUUUAUUGGGUUUAAAGGGUGCGUAGGCGGCCCGUUAAGUCAGUGGUGAAAGCCUCCAGCUCAACUGGAGAACUGCCAUUGAUACUGGCGGGCUUGAGUACAGACGAGGUAGGCGGAAUUGAAGAUGUAGCGGUGAAAUGCAUAGAUAUCUUCAAGAACACCGAUUGCGUAGGCAGCUUACUAGGCUGUAACUGACGCUGAGGCACGAAAGCGUGGGGAGCGAACAGG
RNAcentral lists this ribosomal RNA (253 nucleotides) under uncultured bacterium. RNAcentral's name for it is "partial 16S ribosomal RNA". It matches the Rfam family "Bacterial small subunit ribosomal RNA", at positions 524 to 776 of the family's 1533-position model. The record is from RNAcentral.